UACGGAAGGUGCAAGCGUUGUCCGGAUUGACUGGGUGUAAAGGGCGCGUAGGCGGAGAUGUGUGUCGGGAGUGAAAUCGUGCGGCUUAACCGUACAAUUGCUUUCGAAACUACAUCCCUUGAGUACAGAAGGGGUUGAUGGAAUACCUGGUGUAGCGGUGGAAUGCGUAGAUAUCAGGUAGAACACCGGAGGCGAAGGCGGUCAACUGGUCUGUAACUGACGCUGAGGCGCGAAAGUGUGGGGAGCAAACAGG
This 253-nucleotide ribosomal RNA is filed under the name uncultured bacterium. RNAcentral describes it as "partial 16S ribosomal RNA". It matches the Rfam family "Bacterial small subunit ribosomal RNA", at positions 524 to 776 of the family's 1533-position model. The record is from RNAcentral.